Long non-coding RNA from Anolis carolinensis (green anole), 1669 nucleotides. RefSeq lists it as uncharacterized. The transcript is spliced from 3 exons. Lineage: Eukaryota; Metazoa; Chordata; Lepidosauria; Squamata; Anolidae. The record is from RefSeq and is a predicted model, not a curated record.
CUUUUUGCAGCCGCGGCGGAGGAGACAGGUGCGAAGGGAGGAGCGGGCAGAGCCAGAGGAUGCUGGAGGAGAAUGAGAGAGAGAGAGAGACUUCGCCGCCGCCCUCUUCUUCCUCCUCUUCCAAGGUUGUCCAUAUCCUUCUUGGAUUGUGGGGCCCAGAACUGGACACAGUCUUCCAGACUAUUUUAAGGACGGAAGGCAAUGGAUGACUCCUGGAAGUUGCAAAACGUCGUUUGAUAGGCUCCAUGGCAAUUCAUCCUUGAAAUGGAUUAUAAGUGCGUGGAAACGGGGAGACACCAGCAUCUGAUGAGGUCCUUAACCUAUUGUGUAAGUUAAUUUCAGCCUAUAUGUUUUAUGUAUCCAUAAGUCCACACAUACUUUUAAUGAAAAUAAUUGUCUUUUUUGUACAAAAGAACCCUGUCCCUAAAUUAAUUGGCCCUUGUCUGAUUACUAGCUGUCCCUGAACUAGAAAUACAAAACCACAGCUAUGUUUUAAAGAACUCAGCAGAGACUCAAUUAGGUGUAUAUUCCAGAUGAGUUGCAUGAAUGUUUUUUCCUCAAAUUGCUUCAGUAGCCUGUUCUCCAGAGCAGAGAUCAUCCUGGCAGAGUGUGCUUCCACUUCUUUGCUUGUGUUGGAUGUGAGAUGUGUAUUUUUUUCCUUUUUGCUGUAUCUGAUUCUGCAACUGAUUAGACAUGCUGUUCUUUCCUAAGGUAAUGAUAUCUUAAUAUUCUGAGGAACAGACAUAGUUUAGAUAUAGGACCUUCUUUGUGUUGGCAUCCUGACUUUGGAAUGCAUUCUCAAGGGAGAUAGUCGAAGCACCAAGGCUGUACCUCUUUCAGCCUCCUGUUAAAAUAUUUUUAGCCCUCACAAAUUUUAAAAUAUGACAGUUUCAAUUUAUAUUUUAUCUGGGAGAAAUAGCUUUAUACCUCAUGAAAUCUGAGUUUAUUUUUACAACAUCUACUAUUUCAUUUUAUUCAGUGCCUAAAUUUUCUUUCCAUAAUCCUAAAAAUACUUGGUAGGAAGAUAUGCUUUAUAAAUAUUUAUGAUAAAAAGCAUUUGUUGAAAGAUUAGUUCUUCUUUGUCUUGCUUUACAUUUAUGUCUUUAUACCAAUAUUGUAUUUCAUAGUAUGUUUAUAGGAUUUUAUUUUAAUUGUGUCAGAUCCACUGCCCCGAGAGAACUUUAUGAUCCAUAAUGACAGUAAUGCUUCCUCUUUGUUAUUAUUUCUGUUGGCCCAUCUCACUUUCCUCCCUGCUUGCUCUGAUUUAACAGAUUAUAAAAAUGGCCUCAGGAGUCAACCACUGGGAAAAUUCAGACAGAGAGAAAGCUCAAGUGAGAACUCAUGCAAUUUAUGGCAGUUUAAAGUGUGCUACUUAGCAGAUUUAUUGUGGCAAAAGUUUUCUUGCAAGAGGGUCAACUUCAUCAGAUGCUUGAAGUGUCUCCUUAGUUGGCUGAGGAAGGGAAAAAUUCAAUCCAGAAAGGCAGUAAAUGUGAGAAGUCCAGUCUGUAACAUUUCUAUGGAAGUGUUUAUAUAUGUGAGAUAUAUAAAAAUGCAUCCAUUUUCAUUUUACAGUCUUUAAGGUGCUACAGAAAUCUUCAUUCUUGUUCUUUUGUGCUUCCUUUAACACUUUUUUUUCCUUGUGUCGGGGGAACAGGCUGGUGAAAGAGCC